GCUUUGCUCGUGAGAAGUUUAAAUCCUUUGUGGCGGGCUUCGCCGCAAAGAUUGAAUCUUAUAGAGGGAAGAGCU
Molecule: unclassified non-coding RNA, 75 nt
Filed under: Flavobacterium chilense
Lineage: Bacteria; Pseudomonadati; Bacteroidota; Flavobacteriia; Flavobacteriales; Flavobacteriaceae
Description: Flavo-1 RNA
Source: RNAcentral